GAUGAACGCUGGCGGCGUGCCUAAUACAUGCAAGUCGAGCGAACGGACGAGAAGCUUGCUUCUCUGAUGUUAGCGGCGGACGGGUGAGUAACACGUGGAUAACCUACCUAUAAGACUGGGAUAACUUCGGGAAACCGUAGCUAAUACCGGAUAAUAUUUUGAACCGCAUGGUUCAAAAGUGAAAGACGGUCUUGCUGUCACUUAUAGAUGGAUCCGCGCUGCAUUAGCUAGUUGGUAAGGUAACGGCUUACCAAGGCAACGAUGCAUAGCCGACCUGAGAGGAUGAUCGGCCACACUGGAACUGAGACACGGUCCAGACUCCUACGGGAGGCAGCAGUAGGGAAUCUUGCGCAAUGGGCGAAAGCCUGACGGAGCAACGCCGCGUGUGUGAUGAAGGUCUUCGGAUCGUAAAACUCUGUUAUUAGGGAAGAACAUAUGUGUAAGUAACUGUGCACAUCUUGACGGUACCUAAUCAGAAAGCCACGGCUAACUACGUG
This 497-nucleotide ribosomal RNA is filed under the name uncultured bacterium. Its description in RNAcentral is "partial 16S ribosomal RNA". It matches the Rfam family "Bacterial small subunit ribosomal RNA", at positions 28 to 507 of the family's 1533-position model. The record is from RNAcentral.